Molecule: ribosomal RNA, 476 nt
Filed under: Bacteroidetes bacterium C-3
Lineage: Bacteria; Pseudomonadati; Bacteroidota
Description: bacterial SSU rRNA
Rfam family: Bacterial small subunit ribosomal RNA
Source: RNAcentral
GAUGAACGCUAGCGGCAGGCCUAAUACAUGCAAGUCGUACGGGAUUUCAUCUUUCGGGAUGAAUGAGAGUGGCGCACGGGUGCGUAACGCGUAUGCAACCUACCUGUUACAGGGAGAUAGCCCGGGGAAACUCGGAUUAAUAUUCCAUAGUAUAUAAUCGUUGCAUGGUGAUUAUAUUAAAGCCUUCGGGUGGUAACAGAUGGGCAUGCGUAGGAUUAGCUAGUUGGCGAGGUAACGGCUCACCAAGGCGACGAUCCUUAGGGGUUCUGAGAGGAAGGUCCCCCACACUGGCACUGAGAUACGGGCCAGACUCCUACGGGAGGCAGCAGUAGGGAAUAUUGGUCAAUGGGCGAGAGCCUGAACCAGCCAUGCCGCGUGCAGGAAGACGGCGUUCUGCGUUGUAAACUGCUUUUAUCUGGGAAGAAAAAGCCCUUGCGAGGGAAAUUGCCGGUACCAGAAGAAUAAGCACCGGCUAA